GAUGAAGAACGCAGUGAAAUGCGAUAAGUAGUGUGAAUUGCAGAAUUCAGUGAAUCAUCGAAUCUUUGAACGCACAUUGCGCCCCUUGGUAUUCCAUGGGGCAUGCCUGUUCGAGCGUCAUUUGUACCUUCAAGCUUUGCUUGGUGUUGGGUGUUUGUCUCGCCUUUGCGUGUAGACUCGCCUUAAAAUAAUUGGCAGCCGGCGUAUUGAUUUCGGAGCGCAGUACAUCUCGCGCUUUGCACUCAUAACGACAGCGUCCAAAAGUACAUUUUACACUCUUGACCUCGGAUCAGGUAGGGAUACCCGCUGAACUUAAGCAUAUCAAUAAGCGGGGA
Molecule: unclassified non-coding RNA, 335 nt
Filed under: soil metagenome
Description: partial contains 5.8S ribosomal RNA, internal transcribed spacer 2, and large subunit ribosomal RNA
Rfam family: 5.8S ribosomal RNA (bases 1-120)
Source: RNAcentral